Molecule: long non-coding RNA, 1546 nt
Filed under: Homo sapiens (human)
Lineage: Eukaryota; Metazoa; Chordata; Mammalia; Primates; Hominidae
Description: LIFR antisense RNA 1
Source: RNAcentral
AAUCUUAAAAUGUAUGUAUAUAUGUGUGUGUGUAUAUGUAUAUAUAUUUUAAUGGAGUAAGGGGCUCAACGAAGGCAAAAAGGCCUAGAGCCCAAGAAAAACAUGAUGUGGCCCUGUUGCCUGGGGUUGAAAAAUCCCAUUCCAUGAGAAGAAUUUAGUUUUAAGAAUAUUACAUAAAAUGCUCAUUUCUGUGGCCUUGCUAUAAUAGAAAGAUGGAGAUUCAGAGUAGUGAUAAUGGCUAACAUCCACCUGAUACACACCAUGUGUCCAUUACCUCUUAAUCCUCACAGCACACCUGUGAAAUAGGUACUAUUCUCACACUUAGGGGGUAAUGCAGGUUUUGUGGGGCCUGCAAUUUAUGCAAUUUGGGUGGUCCUCUUAAAGAAAAAGCAAAUACUGUGUAUUAGUCCGUUCUCACACUGCUAUAAAGAACUGCGCGAGACUGGGUAAUUUAUAAAGGAAAGAGGUUUAAUUGACUCACAGUUCCACAUGGCUGGGGAGACCUCAGGAAACUUAACAAUCGUGGUGGAAGGAGAAGCAAGUACCUUCUUCACAAGGAAGCGGAAAGAAUUGUGAGCGGAGGAACUUGCCAAACACAAAACCGUCAGAUCGCGUGAGAAUUCAGUUACUAUCACGAGAACAACACGGGAAAACUGUCCCCAUAAUCAAGUCAUUUCUCUCCCUAACAAGUGAGGAUUACAAUUCAAGAUGAGGUUUGGGUAGGAACACAAAGCCUGACCCUAUCCCACAGCAUGUCCAGGCUGCCCUAGCACCACCCAAUAGAAGGGAAAAUGGCAGAGGGAAAGUCCUAGUGGAAAGAGACCUCAGUCUCAGCUAAUUGUGGUGACAAUAUAUUGCUUUUGCAAAUUGUACAUAAACAUAUGACCAGGUGAAUGUAUCGCCAAGGCUCCUGCCAAGGCCUGGGAUGGAGGCCUAGAGAAGAUGCCCGAAAGUUUAUGCUGUGUGAGCUUCACAGAAGACCUGCCUUCCAUGUAUACCCAUUUUACAGGUGUCUGUGCGGUGCAGAAACUGUACAACUGUAUACAGUGACCAUUUCUACUCUGGGUCUCUAAACAAGGGCUGGUAUCGUUACAGAGACUGAAGACUGAGGAAGACCAUCUCUGUAGGAUGCCAAGGAUUGACUGGAGAAAGUCUGGGGUCCCUCUACCUGGGAUGUGAUUCAGUACCCAAUGGUGGAGCGGUCGUUGAGGAAUGAAGACACAUACAAAGGGUAAAGGAGCAGAAUUUUCCACAAAUGAGUUCAUUUAUAAAGAGAAAGGCAAGCUUUGAUGACAACACCUUCACAAAAUGGAGGCCUUUGAAAACAUUGGUCUGGAUUGAGGAGUUGGAGAAGAAUGAAGUGCACAUCAACCAAACAGAAGAGAAGCAAUUUGGAGGAGGAAAAAAUCAGUUCUUCAUGAAAGGAUCACAUUGAUCUUGAAGGACAUGUUUGCUUCUCCUUCUGCCAUGAUUGUAAGUUUCCUGAGGCCUCACCAUCCCUGCAGAACUGUGAGUCAAUUAAACCUCUUUCCUUUAUAAAUUACCC